Molecule: non-coding RNA, 511 nt
Organism: Pantherophis guttatus
Lineage: Eukaryota; Metazoa; Chordata; Lepidosauria; Squamata; Colubridae
Source: RefSeq, a predicted model, not a curated record
ACAAAAAAAAAAAAAAAAGAAUGAUUUUCAAAUUCCUACCAGUUUCCUUGGUGAGUUUCCUUGUGGGGAGCUGGCAGAGAGCAUCAAAAAUCUUCCUUCUCCUUCUCCUUCUCCUUCUCUUUCUCCUUCCCUUCCCAGAAUUUCUGCUGGCUUCCCAUUUACUUUACUUAUGGGAAACUUGCAGGGAAGAAGUCUAUGGAGAAGCCAGCAGGAAGUUGCAAGUCCAGCAGGCAAAGAUACUAUAUGGACAGGCAAGGAAGAUGUAUUAUAAACGUGAUGCAGAAAAUACUGGCGAGGAUAAAGAAGAAUGUUAAUGGUCAUCAUAAGUUUCCAUUGCCAUCUGUUCACCCACACACCAAAGUAGUUCUGAGUUGAGAAUGUGUGAAGAAAUGAGUUAUGGCAAAGGCAAGUUUAAUUCCCUGUGAUCUUCCAAGUUCCAUCAGAGUUUAUUUGCCAAGAAGGAUGGAGUUGUCAUUCCUCUAAUUUUAAUAGAGUAAUACUUCAUGUUGAA